GUGACAUGUCUCUGGCAGACAGCGCCACCAUGUGUUUGUCAGCUGUAAUAACGCAGCUCAGUGAAGUCGGAUGCCCAGAGGCAGAUGAAGAACGAGAUUGUGCACUACAUCAUACUGGAUACAAUACGAAAAGAUGAGAGAGCUUGUCCUGUCCUUCUCUUACCAACUUUAGUCAACGUUCUUGGAUAUUUCUGCUGGAGAGCAGAGUCUGAUAGCACAAAUCCAGCUGAAGAACAGGAGGGUGAGCAGAAAGAAAUGACAGACAACAUGGAGGAGAAUGAAGAGGAAUACAAGAAGCAGGAGCUUGAGGAGCAACAGACACACCGAAAGUGCCUUUGAAGGUGGGCGUUAAAUCAGUCUUUCUGUUUAUGCUUGACUUCUCUGAAUGAUACAGAUAGAUCGCUGGUAGGAACGUCCUCUGAUUUAAGGAUCUCCAGCUCAGGGAUCCGAGAUAAGCAAAAGUUUGCAAAGGUAAACUAGUUUUUCUAGUUCUCUCUGGCUUUUGUAGCAGUGCAGAAAGAAGCCAUUCAGAGAUGAGCUUCACACAAGAAAGCCAAAGCCAUGCAGGUAAAACAUGUUUCUGAAUGCUGCUCUAAAGUGUGUCACUGGUUGUUCUUCUAGUCUUCAGAGACAACUAUAAAUAAACCAUUUGUUUGUUAAUUUCCAGGUUACGCAUCUUUACAACCAAAGUAAAAAUUAAACGUUAAUUAUAUUCAUGAUUUCCCUUCACAGGCUGAUGUAAAUCCUGACAUUGCUGCCAGAAAGAAGGUAAAGAAGCGGUUAAAGAAAAACAAGGCCAAAAAGCAGAAAAUCGCAUU
This is a long non-coding RNA of Carassius auratus (goldfish), 818 nucleotides long. RefSeq lists it as uncharacterized. The transcript is spliced from 3 exons. The record is from RefSeq and is a predicted model, not a curated record. NCBI's taxonomy places the organism in Eukaryota, Metazoa, Chordata, Actinopteri, Cypriniformes, Cyprinidae.